ACUCGCAGCCCAAACCCUAGAUCAGAUCCCAUCAACCCCUCCCACCAUCGCAUCCCUCCUCCCUUGUCCCCAUCUCCUCACCGCCGCCGCCACCUCCUCCCCGUCCCCGGCACCCUCCCGAUCCAGUCCUCCGUCUCAUUCCCCUCGUCCAAACCCACCAACGCGACGGCGCACCCACCCACCCACCAACGCGGGCUCCUCUCUCCCUCGUCUCUCCCUCUCCCCCGCACCACUCCUCGCUGCCGCCACCACCACCACCUACGGCGCCCGAUCCCGCCUGAAUCCGGUCUCCUCCGGCGGCGCCGAGCACACCACGGUGACCCCAUCCCUCCGCUGCUUCCUCCCAUCCAUGGCGGCGAGCGAGCCAGCCAAAUCGACCCCCGUUCCCCGAAAGCAGCGGCAGCACCACCCACCCAUGGCUUCCCUGACGGCGAGAUCCGGCCUCCGCUCCCUGGCGGCGCGCGCCAGGCCCCCCGCCCCGGCCCCGGUUGGGUGCCGCAUAUGAGACGACCAAGUGGGAGAAGAUCACCAUCAUGGGGGCCAUCACCUGCACCCUCCUGACGGCCUGGAACCUCUCCAAGGGCCACCCCCACUUCGACGAGCCGCCGGCCUACCCCUACCUGCACAUCCGCAACAAGGAGUUCCCCUGGCGAGCCAUGGGUUUGACUUCGGCAAAGGGGAUCGCCCUCACCGUCUCCUUGUUUUGGCCUCCUCGCGUUUCUGCUCGGUGUCAUUUAUCUGUUAUACUAUAUGAAUCAUGCAUGCUGAUACACUACUGUGCAAGUUCUAUGGUAUGUGAGUUCCUUUUGUUGCUGCAAGCAUUGAUACAAUAUGUCAUGUUUAGGGAGCUCUGCAUCUGAGUCUCGGUCAUCCUGCACAGCGAGGAGUUGGGCCAAGGGAGCAAGCAGUGCUGCUGGUUCCUUGAGGCCGGAUUGAGUAAGAUGGUGCACCACGACGUGUGGCACGAGAGCUUCAGGCAUAAAAGGAAGUUGGAAGUGUGAAACCAUGAAGAUUGCUCAAGAAAGUACGGUAUAUUAUAUAUUGUAAUAGUAGACAUAUCUAGGUUGUAAAGAUUGUAAUAGACUAAUUUAGUGUUGUUUUCGACGAAUUUCAUGUGCUCUCUGGUCUGUUUGAAAUAUUGAUCCUGUAUGUGAUUUCAAUACUUGUGAAAUGGAAACCUGCGAUCUACAUAAAAAUGGGAGAUAAGUUUUGAA
Triticum aestivum (bread wheat) is the source of this 1214-nucleotide long non-coding RNA. RefSeq lists it as uncharacterized. The transcript is spliced from 5 exons. The record is from RefSeq and is a predicted model, not a curated record. Lineage: Eukaryota; Viridiplantae; Streptophyta; Magnoliopsida; Poales; Poaceae.